GGGUCAAUGGUCUAGUGGUAUGAUUCUCGCUUUGGGUUCUCACAGAUCGAAUGCGAGAGGCCGUCGGUUCAAUCCCGGCUUGACCCC
Molecule: non-coding RNA, 87 nt
Organism: Auriculariales sp. MPI-PUGE-AT-0066
Lineage: Eukaryota; Fungi; Basidiomycota; Agaricomycetes; Auriculariales
Source: the annotation of a GenBank genome assembly